This 340-nucleotide long non-coding RNA is filed under the name Mytilus galloprovincialis (Mediterranean mussel). The record is from RNAcentral. Lineage: Eukaryota; Metazoa; Mollusca; Bivalvia; Mytilida; Mytilidae.
CAACAGCUAGUGUAUAGCUCGGUUGGUAUAUUUAAUAGAAAGAUAUUUGUAAAUAUGGUAAAUAAACUCAUCAUAAAUACCAGGAUUGAAAUUUUACAUUCACGACAGACGGGUAUUUCGUCUACAAAAGACUCAUCAGUGACGCUCGACUAAAAAAUGUUAAUAAGGCCAAAUGAAACUGACCAUUUAACUUAAAAAAUGGCGAAGUGCAAGCAUUUUUUUAGUUUUUAAACGCUAUCCUCUUGACCACAUAAUGUGUUUUCAUCAAAAUUGGAAAUGAUAAUAUUUUAUAAAGAAAAAUCUUUACCUACGUCGCAUUAUAUAUACUAGUAUACUAACA